Molecule: long non-coding RNA, 678 nt
Organism: Saccostrea cuccullata (small rock oyster)
Lineage: Eukaryota; Metazoa; Mollusca; Bivalvia; Ostreida; Ostreidae
Exons: 3
Source: RefSeq, a predicted model, not a curated record
UUAUUUAGAUGACAUCGAUUUUGGAGGGCAUUCUCCUCUUACAGCUGCAUUCUUUUUAGCUAUCGGCUGUUUACAAAAUGGUUCAGCACAUAUAAGAAGAAUUGGUGAUUUUCGCGUUCAUCCCAGAAUAAUUCUUAUAUCUGACGGCAAACCCACAGACUUCACUGUUGUUAGUGAUGCUGAUGAUCAUCUUCCAUAUGCAACUGCAAGGGUAUUCAAACAGUUUACGAGUAGUACAGUCUAUUACACUAUUUAGUGUUUAGAAGAUCAAUCAAUUUUAUAAUAUUUAUCACAUCUUUAAACAAUGUUAAAUUUCAGAUAAAUUCAAAGGCAAUCACGUUCUUAUUGUAAGUAAAAAAUACCGCUGUUGAAAUUAAUGUUUUUGUGGGUACGUAAAAUUUCAUUGGUACGUGGGGAUGUUAUUUUAUAGGUAACCCGUACUUGUAAAUACUGAAGAUACAUUUGCAAAAUAUUUCUUUAUUGUUCAUAGUGAUGUACAAAAUUUGGAUACUGUAAAUUCACGAAUCUUCUUGAGGGUUUAAUGUUCGUGGAUUUCGUGGGUCACCCUUUAUCCGCAAAGAACAAAAUUCACCUUGGGCCUCUUAUGGCCCUGUGAAUUUCUGGAAAAUAAGAACUGCUCAUUUUUAGGUGGAAUUACCUUAAUUUUUACUUGGACCC